Long non-coding RNA from Cyprinus carpio carpio, 2454 nucleotides. The record is from Ensembl. Lineage: Eukaryota; Metazoa; Chordata; Actinopteri; Cypriniformes; Cyprinidae.
UUCAGCACUCCCAAAGUACCUGUGUUUAAAACAAUCACCUUCAAACACUCACUGGUAAAUCAAGUCACAGUCAUGAACACCGUUUUAAGACCAUGAAACAGUCACAUAAAAGCAAAUGGACUUUGACUUAAAAGCAAAGUGUGUGAUUCAGAGAGCAUAUAUUUGGCUCCUUGUGCACGUGACAAUUGCGGACAAAAACAGAAACUUCCAGCUAAAUGCAUCGUAAUGGAGAGAGAUUGGGAAUAAGGAAUGUAGAAGCCGAAAUGUUUUUGUGGUUACUUAACAGACAGGAAGGCAAUGUCAAUUAUUUCGACGUCAAGCACAUCAUACUGUAUGACUACAUGCUUUAAAAGAAGCCAACAAGCAAACAAACAACGACUGAAACUAGAACAAAUGAGACGGAAGAACAGGUGUAAUGUUUUAUGAAGGCUAACUUUCCUCUCAACAACAUAUCAAAUAUAUAUGUUGGUUGUAUAUGUUAGUUUGUAUUCUAUUCGCUGUAGUGUUACAGGUUUAUGUACAAAGACAAUCACCCAUGCAUAUAAACAAUAACAUGCAAAACAUUUCUUCAGCUCUUUUGUCGCUUAUGUACUCAUUUUGUACUUUAAUUUUAGAAUUGUGUUCUAUGAAUAUUGUUGGCUCCUACGACAAAUUGCUUGUGAUUUUCCUUAUUUGUAAAUUGCUAUAAAAUCAUCUGCUGGAUUAAUAAAUGUACAAUAUGUCAGAUUAAAUCUUUUUUUUUUUUUUUCAUUAAAAAAGCACAUUCGGAUUGACCACAUUCCUUUAGCAGAGAGAUGGACGGAUAUGCAAACACCUCAUGGAUUGUGCAAGAUAGUAGACUGUAGGAUUUGUGAUGUGUUAAUAUGAUACCUGUACAACAAUUUCCAGAAAAUAAAAAACCCAUAAUCUGGGGAAAACUCAAAAGGCUGGCAUGGCUUGAUAAUAUGUGACUUUCAGGACAGAAUGUUUUACCUGCUUUUAUCAACUACACUUUUGUGUAAAAAAUUGCACUCGGGUACAAACUGGAUUGGCUCAAUCUACAACCCGGGUUACAAUAAACUCACCUACAACUACAACUUUAACCCCACAUACAGCUCAGCCUACAACAACCACAACACAGGCUCCAACAAGCCCAAACACAACUUAUACAGUUUUUGUCAGUUUUUCCAGCAGUGAAGACUUUGUGCCUGACCACAACCACACCUACUACAACUACAAGCACACCCAAUACAACAACGACUGCCAACCUUAAUACAACAACAACAACUACAACUCUUCCAUUUAGUAAGGACAUGUUUUUAAAAUAUGCAAAUAGUACAGUACAUAGGUCUUCAAAGUCUAAAGUAUGCUGAAAUGCUUUGCUACAAUUGAUUCUUCAGAAAAGGGAUAAACAUGAAACAGUUUAAUUUCAAUUUCAUUUCAUUUUAAUUAAAAUGAUGACCUUAAAAUAAGACAUUUCCAGAUCGUAACUCGUUACUUCACUUCACUUACUAUGCAUAUUCAAAAUAAACACUAUCUCGUAAGCCAUGCAUUGGAAAAUGUUAAAGGUCUUUUUUUUUAUGCUGGCUGACUCUGGAACAGGCUUUAAUGAGUGAAAGGAUGAAGUAUUUCAAUGCUUAUGAAACCUGUAAAACAACUCAGAAGAAUGACAAAUAGCUAUAGUAUGUUACAUCAGAAACGUUCAGGACAAAACUCGUAGACAAGAUCGUCUGAUAACAUUACAUAUUAACACAAAAACCUGUACUACUACAACAUCACGCUUCUUAGCCAGCUAGACACACAAUUUCAUGCACUUGUAUCAUAAGCUCAAACAACAGAAUUUGUGAUUUAAUGUUGAUUCCAGCAUUUUAUUUUAAUCCUUUUCUUUAAAACAUUUUUUUUAACCAAAAUUAUACAAAUUCUGUUGAUUGACCUUCAUUUUUAUAAAAAAGUUAAUGUUCUACUCUAACUAUGGCGUAUUUUUUUUUAAACAGGUAUUUGUAGUUAUUCUGUGAUGCUAUGUUAUUUUUAUAAGAACUGUUGAAAGAAGGUUUUUUUUUUGUUUUGUUUUUUUUUACCAGUAAAAGCCUUGCGAUGUCUUCCUGCCAGUUUUAAUAAAUACUUAUAUGCAACAUUAUUGACUUGGUUUUUAUUCAUUUGUAAAUGUAUUAAGGUAGUGCUCAUGAUAAUGCAUUUAUAUUAGUAUUUUAGUUUACGGUUAAAAUUAUUCUUUACAGCAUUUUCACUGUUAAAUUAUUACAACAUCAUCUUGGAUUUAGGGGUAUUUACAGGAUUUUAUUGGCAAGUUUUGUUGCCAGGUAAAUACUGUACUUUAGUGAAAUUACAAAAUAUUGCUGUAAAAUAAACUACAAGUUUAAUUCAAUGAUACUAUAAAAAUACUACAAAUUACUGUAUUUCACAUACAGCAAUUAACUGUAAUUCGCUUUGCAGUAAUAUACUGUAAUCCAUUUUACA